This is a non-coding RNA of Brachypodium distachyon (stiff brome), 137 nucleotides long. NCBI's taxonomy places the organism in Eukaryota, Viridiplantae, Streptophyta, Magnoliopsida, Poales, Poaceae. The record is from Rfam.
GUAGUACUUUUUCCGUCCAACAAAGAAUGUCUUGACUUUUACUAAGUUUAAUGUAUAUAUACACUAAGUUAUAUGUCUAGAUACAUCCAAAUUUUGAUAAACUAGAGACAUUUUUUGUUGGACGGAGGGAGUAAAAA